This 84-nucleotide non-coding RNA is filed under the name unclassified sequences. The record is from RNAcentral.
CGCUCGUUGCCACCGGGUAACGAGGGAGGCGUCAUUUCUUUAUCGUUAGGUCUUAGAAGAUAAAGAAAUGGCGUUAUUUUUGGG